CAAAUCUGCUGCAUAGAGAAUGCUACAACCAUUGCCUGAGUACUGUUCUGGUGCAGGGAACACAGUGAGUUGGAAAAUCAUAGAGAAAUAUGAAAGAACUCAAAAGCACUUCCGCAGCAUCUCCACUUGCAUAUUUUGUGUAACUGUUUUUACAUUCACAGUGGAUUGAAAGAAUUUUGACGGAUUAUAAAGAAUUGUAUCCCUCACAAAGAAUAAUAGUGUAUAAAUCUAUGCGUGACUAAUGCUAAUAACUCAGCUGGGACAAAUGUUUUCUACAGUAUGCCACCAAAACUCGUUCACCACUCAAAACAGACAGAUAGUCCCUUCAUCGUUCGUCCCAUUCAGACAACAACUUUGAGAACCAUAAGAACGGAUUACAUACAGCUGGAACCAACUGUCUUCACUGAACCUAGUUGUGUGGUGUAAGCACAGCUACAAAAUUAGGAUUUUCACACCGGCCCAACCAAUUGCUUUUAGGCUGACGGUUUUCCUUCAGUAUUCGUACCCCACUCUUCUUCAGCCUCAUUUCCAUUGACGAGUACUGCACUAUCAGUAGAUUCAGCAUCUACAACAGCCUCUUCUUGGCUCUCCUGUUGAGUGCCAUCUUGUCCCUGCUCUUGCACCUCAUCACCAUUCUGUUCCACAACCUCGUGGUCCGUUUCUCCAUUUUCAAGGGGUUCUUCUUCAUCCAUUCUCAUGUUGCUGAAAGCUUCUACAAGGUUGGAAGUUGGUCUAUCAGCAUAAUUUCCAUAAUCUGCUGCUGGUGGGUAUACACCCCUUUCCUCUGCGACUCUAGCUUCAACUGCAUGUGCAAUUUGCCAGUGCUCAAACAUGUUGGGAUAUUCUUCAGGAUCAGCCAAAGCUUCUGCUGCUUUCUGGUUAACCUUAUUAAGAUCCUUCCUCCACAUUGCAACUAUUUCAGAAACCUUACUUGGCAGAUAAGAUCUAGCCAUAAAAGCAGCCUCAGGUACCCGAUUGCUAUCAACCAAUAGCUGAAUGCAUUCCUCCACUUUACCCAAAAGGAACAUGCAAAGGAAUGUGACAUUGUUUUUCCCCUGCUCUUUGGCAAGAGUUGCUAGUUCAGUUAUGCCUUCAGCAUCUCCUAGUGAAGAAUAGAGUAGCAACAGACCACUCAAGUCAUUGGCAUACUUCAGACAUUCCUCUGCCAUCUCCAGCAUUCCAUCAGACAUGGCUAGUUCACCCAACUGCUUCCAUUUGGACUCACUUUGAGCGACCACUGCAAUAUCCUUUGCAAUUUCUAAUUUUCCCAGCUGUAUGGCUAGAUCAAAUCUGUAGUCAGGCUCUGUUGCAACUUCUAAUGCUUCCUCUACCAUACCUCGCGACUCCAAGAAAUGAGCAACACUAUUAUGGUGCUCCUUAGGAAUAGAUGGCAGCACCUCAUUUGCUCUGUCCCAGUCACCACGCAUCACAAGCGUCUUGUACUCAACCAGGCUGAGCAGCAAAGUAUAUCCAAUGACAUUGAACUCUUUGUCAAUCAGAAAAACCCUACUCUGGUUUGCUAGAUAUCCGAGCAGGUACAUAGGCCGGUCUAAAUGAAACAUUGUGGUCACCUCACCACCAACACAGUAGUUAAGUCUCCAGGAAGAAUUAUUGUAAAUGAAGCAAUCACCAACCCAAAUUCCGGUCCUGACCCGUUCAUUUAUCUCAUAAAGAAGUUCAAAAGCUUCUUCUACGCCUUGCUCAUCUACUGAUCUUCCACUAUCUAAAUGGGCAGAAACCACAUCACGAUUAUACUUGAGUAUGUAGAAGGAUGUAUCACUUGCAAUUGCUACCAGAUCGCCACUGUCCGCCCAGUAGAGAUUCUUCACACUAACAUCAAUUCGCCGUAUCAACCUGCAGUCCGCCCAAUCAUAGAAACAAAUAAACUCAUUUGAGCACAUCGCCAAUAGAGUACCUCCAUAGAUGCGCUCAGCUGAGAAAGUAGGGCGGAUACUCUUCUUCUCCUGAAAAUUUUUGCUGAAGAUCUUAAUCCUUGACGUACUUUCUCUCACAGCAUAUUCUCCAUCAGAAGACCAAACAAAUUCCAGAGCUGAACCAAAUGACCUAUUUCUCCAUGCUAGAGCAGUAUAUAUGAUAUACUCUCCAUCUCCACAAACAACAACAAACCUUCCAUUUGGAUUAUGCUUCAAGCUUUGUGGAUAGAGGUCACAAGUUCCCAAUUCCUUGACAGCCAAAGGCAGCCUUUCUCCAUCAGUAACCUCGUAAUCCGCCCCCACACUCUUGAUGUUGACAGUUUGAACUUCAUUGUGCUUAGCCCAUAUAAUUUUUCCACUACUAUCCAUGCUGGCAACGGGUUCUUCUCGGCCAAUUUUUACCAUGAUAGUGCCCUCAUCAUAACCUAUUACAACCCUUCUUGAACUUCUCAUGCAACCAACUGCCCAA
This 2403-nucleotide unclassified non-coding RNA is filed under the name Hevea brasiliensis (rubber tree). The record is from RNAcentral. Lineage: Eukaryota; Viridiplantae; Streptophyta; Magnoliopsida; Malpighiales; Euphorbiaceae.